Molecule: ribosomal RNA, 502 nt
Filed under: uncultured bacterium
Lineage: Bacteria
Description: partial 16S ribosomal RNA
Rfam family: Bacterial small subunit ribosomal RNA
Source: RNAcentral
AGCGAACGCUGGCGGCGUGCCUAACACAUGCAAGUCGAACGUGAAAGGGAGCAAUCCCAAGUAAAGUGGCGUACGGGUGAGUAACACGUAGGUAAUCUACCCCAGAAUCUGGAAUAACCGGCCGAAAGGCUGGCUAAUACUGGAUAGAGCGACGGAAUCCGUAAUUGGGUUUUUCGGGAAAGGGAGCCUGUAAAAAGGCCUUCGUUCUGGGAUGAGCCUGCGUCCCAUCAGCUAGUUGGUGAGGUAAAAGCUUACCAAGGCAAUGACGGGUAGCUGGUCUGAGAGGACGAUCAGCCACACUGGGACUGAAACACGGUCCAGACGCCUACGGGAGGCAGCAGUGGGGAAUCUUGCGCAAGGGACGAAAGUCUGACGCAGAAACGCCGAGUGAGGGAAGAAGGCCGUCGGGUUGUAAAGCUCGGUCGAGUGGGACGAAAAUGCUUGGAGUUCACAGCUCCAGGAACUGACGGUACCACUAAAGGAAGCACCGGCUAACUCCGUG